This 75-nucleotide transfer RNA is filed under the name alpha proteobacterium QL1. RNAcentral describes it as "tRNA-Arg". It matches the Rfam family "tRNA". Rfam says of the family: Transfer RNA (tRNA) molecules are approximately 80 nucleotides in length. Their secondary structure includes four short double-helical elements and three loops (D, anti-codon, and T loops). The record is from RNAcentral. RNAcentral also lists the same sequence under 1 other name. Lineage: Bacteria; Pseudomonadati; Pseudomonadota; Alphaproteobacteria; Candidatus Pelagibacterales; Candidatus Pelagibacteraceae.
GGUCUUGUAGUGAAAUGGAUAUCAUGCUUGUCUUCGAAACAAGCGUUUUAGGUUCGAAUCCUAACAAGACCACCA